GGUAGUAUGGCCGAAUUAAGCGGUAAUCUGUAAAAUUACACAUAGGAGAGAUCCUUACUGCCA
RNAcentral lists this transfer RNA (63 nucleotides) under Sibynophis collaris (collared black-headed snake). RNAcentral describes it as "tRNA-Tyr". Lineage: Eukaryota; Metazoa; Chordata; Lepidosauria; Squamata; Sibynophiidae. RNAcentral also lists the same sequence under 1 other name. The record is from RNAcentral.